AGAUUGAACGCUGGCGGAAUGCUUUACACAUGCAAGUCGAACGGCAGCACGGGGGCAACCCUGGUGGCGAGUGGCGAACGGGUGAGUAAUGUAUCGGAACGUGCCCAGUCGUGGGGGAUAACUAUCCGAAAGGAUAGCUAAUACCGCAUACGACCUGAGGGUGAAAGCGGGGGACCUUCGGGCCUCGCGCCAUUAGAUGAGCCUAGGUCGGAUUAGCUAGUUGGUGAGGUAAUGGCUCACCAAGGCGACGAUCCGUAACUGGUCUGAGAGGAUGAUCAGUCACACUGGAACUGAGACACGGUCCAGACUCCUACGGGAGGCAGCAGUGGGGAACAUUGGACAAUGGGCGAAAGCCUGAUCCAGCAAUGCCGCGUGAGUGAUGAAGGCCUUAGGUUGUAAAGCUCUUUUACCCGAGAUGAUAAUGAACAGUAUCGGAAGAAGUAAGCCCCGGCUAACCUCCGUGCCAGCAGCCGC
This 474-nucleotide ribosomal RNA is filed under the name uncultured soil bacterium. RNAcentral describes it as "bacterial SSU rRNA". It matches the Rfam family "Bacterial small subunit ribosomal RNA", at positions 26 to 518 of the family's 1533-position model. The record is from RNAcentral.